AAAAAACUAGUUAAUUCUAUAACCUAAGAAUGUCAUUCUUAAAUAACCCCUUGGUGUUUUUUA
RNAcentral lists this transfer RNA (63 nucleotides) under Otobius lagophilus. RNAcentral's name for it is "tRNA-Asp". Lineage: Eukaryota; Metazoa; Arthropoda; Arachnida; Ixodida; Argasidae. The record is from RNAcentral.